UACGUAGGGAGCGAGCGUUGUUCGGAUUUACUGGGCGUAAAGGGCGCGUAGGCGGCAGAUUAAGUCAGCUGUGAAAUCUCCGAGCUUAACUCGGAACUGUCAGCUGAUACUGUUUUGCUAGAGUGCGGAAGGGGCAAUCGGAAUUCUUGGUGUAGCGGUGAAAUGCGUAGAUAUCAAGAGGAACACCUGAGGUGAAGACGGGUUGCUGGGCCGACACUGACGCUGAGUGCGCGAAAGCCAGGGGAGCAAACGGG
RNAcentral lists this ribosomal RNA (254 nucleotides) under uncultured bacterium. RNAcentral describes it as "partial 16S ribosomal RNA". It matches the Rfam family "Bacterial small subunit ribosomal RNA", at positions 524 to 776 of the family's 1533-position model. The record is from RNAcentral.